AGUGAACGCUGGCGGUAGGCCUAACACAUGCAAGUCGAACGGCAGCACAGGAGAGCUUGCUCUCUGGGUGGCGAGUGGCGGACGGGUGAGGAAUACAUCGGAACCUACUUUUUCGUGGGGGAUAACGUAGGGAAACUUACGCUAAUACCGCAUACGACCUACGGGUGAAAGCAGGGGAUCUUCGGACCUUGCGCGAUUGAAUGAGCUGAUGUCGGAUUAGCUAGUUGGCGGGGUAAAGGCCCACCAAGGCGACGAUCCGUAGCUGGUCUGAGAGGAUGAUCAGCCACACUGGAACUGAGACACGGUCCAGACUCCUACGGGAGGCAGCAGUGGGGAAUAUUGGACAAUGGGCGCAAGCCUGAUCCAGCCAUACCGCGUGGGUGAAGAAGGCCUUCGGGUUGUAAAGCCCUUUUGUUGGGAAAGAAAUCCAGCUGGUUAAUACCCGGUUGGGAUGACGGUACCCAAAGAAUAAGCACCGGCUAACUUCGUGCCAGCAGCCGCCGUAA
RNAcentral lists this ribosomal RNA (506 nucleotides) under uncultured bacterium. Its description in RNAcentral is "partial 16S ribosomal RNA". It matches the Rfam family "Bacterial small subunit ribosomal RNA", at positions 29 to 523 of the family's 1533-position model. The record is from RNAcentral.